Molecule: transfer RNA, 85 nt
Filed under: Felis catus (domestic cat)
Lineage: Eukaryota; Metazoa; Chordata; Mammalia; Carnivora; Felidae
Also listed under: 1 other name
Rfam family: tRNA
About the family: Transfer RNA (tRNA) molecules are approximately 80 nucleotides in length. Their secondary structure includes four short double-helical elements and three loops (D, anti-codon, and T loops).
Source: Rfam by way of RNAcentral
GCCUGGGUGGCUCAGUCGGUUGAGCAUCUGACUUCAGUUCAGGUCAUGAUCUCAUGGUUUGUGGGUUUGAGCCCCAUGUCGGGCU